GAUGAACGCUGGCGGCGUGCCUAACACAUGCAAGUCGAGCGAUUCUCUUCGGAGAAGAGCGGCGGACGGGUGAGUAACGCGCGGGUAACCUGCCCUGUACACACGGAUAACAUACCGAAAGGUAUGCUAAUACGAGAUAAUAUACUUUUAUCACAUGGUAGAAGUAUCAAAGCUUUUGCGGUACAGGAUGGACCUGCGUCUGAUUAGCUAGUUGGUAAGGUAACGGCUUACCAAGGCGACGAACAGUAGCCGACCUGAGAGGGUGAUCGGCCACAUUGGAAAUGAGACACGGUCCAAACUCCUACGGGAGGCAGCAGUGGGGAAUAUUGCACAAUGGGCGAAAGCCUGAUGCAGCAACGCCGCGUGAGCGAUGAAGGCCUUCGGGUCGUUAAGCUCUGUCCUCAAGGAAGAUAAUGACGGUACUUGAGGAGGAAGCCCCGGCUAACUACGUGCCAGCAGCCGCGGUAA
RNAcentral lists this ribosomal RNA (468 nucleotides) under uncultured bacterium. RNAcentral describes it as "partial 16S ribosomal RNA". It matches the Rfam family "Bacterial small subunit ribosomal RNA", at positions 28 to 523 of the family's 1533-position model. The record is from RNAcentral.